CCUACGGGUGGUAGCAGUGAGGAAUAUUGGUCAAUGGGCGGAAGCCUGAACCAGCCAAGUAGCGUGCAGGAUGACGGCCCUACGGGUUGUAAACUGCUUUUAUACGGGAAUAACGCGCCUUACGUGUAGUGCUUUGCAUGUACCGUAUGAAUAAGGACCGGCUAAUUCCGUGCCAGCAGCCGCGGUAAUACGGAAGGUCCGGGCGUUAGCCGGAUUUAUUGGGUUUAAAGGGAGCGUAGGCCGGAUGUCACGCCUGCGGUGACAUGUCCGGGCUCAAGCCGGGCCUUGCAGCGCGAACUGGGGUGCUUGAGUGCGCGGAAAGCAGGCGGAAUUCGUCGUGUAGCGGUGAAAUGCUUAGAUAUGACGAAGAACCCCGAUUGCGAAGGCAGCUUGCUGCAGCGGAACUGACGCUGAUGCUCGAAAGCGCGGGUAUCGAUCAGGAUUAGAUACCCCAGUAGUC
This 460-nucleotide ribosomal RNA is filed under the name uncultured bacterium. RNAcentral's name for it is "partial 16S ribosomal RNA". It matches the Rfam family "Bacterial small subunit ribosomal RNA", at positions 338 to 795 of the family's 1533-position model. The record is from RNAcentral.